Molecule: transfer RNA, 116 nt
Filed under: Periconia digitata
Lineage: Eukaryota; Fungi; Ascomycota; Dothideomycetes; Pleosporales; Periconiaceae
Description: tRNA-Gly
Rfam family: tRNA (bases 2-100)
About the family: Transfer RNA (tRNA) molecules are approximately 80 nucleotides in length. Their secondary structure includes four short double-helical elements and three loops (D, anti-codon, and T loops). Further hydrogen bonds mediate the characteristic L-shaped molecular structure. tRNAs have two regions of fundamental functional importance: the anti-codon, which is responsible for specific mRNA codon recognition, and the 3' end, to which the tRNAs corresponding amino acid is attached (by aminoacyl-tRNA synthetases). tRNAs cope with the degeneracy of the genetic code in two manners: having more than one tRNA (with a specific anti-codon) for a particular amino acid; and 'wobble' base-pairing, i.e. permitting non-standard base-pairing at the 3rd anti-codon position.
Source: RNAcentral
CGCAUCGGUGGUUUAGUGGUAAAAUUAGCCGUUGCCAAGCAUUCGAUUCAUCGAAUGAAGCAACAUCGGCUAGCCCCGGGUUCGAUUCCCGGCCGAUGCAAUAGAUUUAAUUAUUA